CCUUUCAUCAUCAUCAUUUAAACAACAAAAAAAUCAUUCUUUUCUAAUUUCAUUUCCAACCCCCAAUUUUAAAAAGAACAGAAAGCUGUUUGCUUUCUCUCCCUCCCCUAUUUCUCUCCGUCGAUCAUGUUCUCCACCGCCCGCCGUACCACCACCGUACCCGGUGGCCGACGAAGCGCGGAGAUGGGCUUCUUAGCCUCGUUUUGAGGCACAUUCGAAGGCCAUGCCUUCUCAACCCCAAAGAAAUCGAAAGAAAGGUCCCCCCUCUCCCCGGUUCGACUUCGGCGAUUGGAGAAGAGAUCUCCGGCGAUGAGUCUGUGGGAAGAUCAAGGUGAGGUUACCUUUCUCUUUACCUUUUCGUUUAUUUUCGUACAUGAAAAAGAAAAAAGAACUAAAACACAAUAAAAAAACAAAGAAAUCAAAACCAAGAACUAGAUGAAAGAAACUAUUGUAAAAACCAAAAAUCACCUUUUAUUUCUUGUUUUUUUUAAGAAAAAGGGACCGAACCCCCUACAACUGAUUUUGCUUGGCUUUUUAUAGCCAUUUUACAUGAGUUCUUUAUCUAUUUUUGUCUCUGUUUUGCGUGUUUGGUUUCAUCUUGCAGGGAGUCAGAGGAGUUGGUGGAGCAGGUGAGGCCGUGCGUCGGCGGUCAGAGGAAAGGUGAGGCAGCCAGGAGCAGGUGCAGCGAUGGGACGUGCGGCGGCCGGCGGAGUUGGUGGGUCUGCUGGUAUGGGUUCUUUUGUUUCUUUCUUGGGUCCGGGCAAAUGGGUCUGCAACAAAGGCCAUUGUCGACCCCCUUUGGCUCCGUCAUUAUACACGUAUUUACAAUUUAAUGUAAGUGUUUUAAUUAUUAAAUAUGAUCAUUAUUAGAUCCAAUUUGAUAUUUUAUGCUUACAUUGACAAAUAGGAUGAUGGGAGGACAAUAUUGAUAUUUCGAAGAGUCAAUUAGAAUAUUUUGAAGAUAAGGGACCGAUUUAAAAUCUGAAUGAAAGUUUGGGUAUGCUUGGUAGAAUAGCCCUAUUUAAUAAACUAAGAUUAUGUUUAGUUAAAGCUAACACCGCCUGCAAAAUGACUUUUGUACUAUUUUUGGUAGAAGCUAAUAUUUGGA
Molecule: long non-coding RNA, 1108 nt
Filed under: Gossypium barbadense (sea-island cotton)
Lineage: Eukaryota; Viridiplantae; Streptophyta; Magnoliopsida; Malvales; Malvaceae
Description: long non-coding RNA (GBAR_LNC021376)
Source: RNAcentral